UGGGGAAUUGUUCGCAAUGGGCGCAAGCCUGACGACGCAACGCCGCGUGCGGGAUGAAGGCCUUCGGGUUGUAAACCGCUUUGGUCCGAAAGAAAGGGUAAAACUUGAUCGAUCGGAGAAACAAGGACGGGCUAAGUUCGUGCCAGCAGCCGCGGUAAGACGAACCGUCCAAACGUUAUUCGGAAUCACUGGGCUUAAAGGGCGCGUAGGCGGCCGAGCGGGUCGUGGGUGAAAUCCUCCAGCUUAACUGGAGAACUGCUUACGAUACCACUGCGGCUCGAGGAAGGAAGGGGUCAUGGGAACUGUCGGUGGAGCGGUGAAAUGCGUUGAUAUCGACAGGAACGCCUGUGGCGAAAGCGCAUGACUGGUCCUUUUCUGACGCUGAGGCGCGAAAGCCAGGGGAGCAAACGGGAUUAGAUACCCGCGUAGUCCCUGAGCGGGCUGGCAAGGCGCAU
RNAcentral lists this ribosomal RNA (455 nucleotides) under uncultured bacterium. Its description in RNAcentral is "bacterial SSU rRNA". It matches the Rfam family "Bacterial small subunit ribosomal RNA", at positions 355 to 825 of the family's 1533-position model. The record is from RNAcentral.